This 377-nucleotide ribosomal RNA is filed under the name uncultured bacterium. RNAcentral describes it as "bacterial SSU rRNA". It matches the Rfam family "Bacterial small subunit ribosomal RNA", at positions 523 to 898 of the family's 1533-position model. The record is from RNAcentral.
AUACGUAGGUGGCGAGCGUUGUCCGGAAUUACUGGGUGUAAAGGGCGUGUAGGCGGGGAUGCAAGUCAGAUGUGAAAUACCGAGGCUUAACCUCGGGGCUGCAUCUGAAACUGUGUUUCUUGAGUGUCGGAGAGGAAAGCGGAAUUCCCAGUGUAGCGGUGAAAUGCGUAGAGAUUGGGAGGAACACCAGUGGCGAAGGCGGCUUUCUGGACGACAACUGACGCUGAGGCGCGAAAGCGUGGGGAGCAAACAGGAUUAGAUACCCUGGUAGUCCACGCCGUAAACGAUGGAUACUAGGUGUAGGAGGUAUCGACCCCUUCUGUGCCGGAGUUAACACAAUAAGUACCCCGCCUGGGGAGUACGGCCGCAAGGUUGAA